This 1371-nucleotide ribosomal RNA is filed under the name uncultured bacterium. RNAcentral's name for it is "bacterial SSU rRNA". It matches the Rfam family "Bacterial small subunit ribosomal RNA", at positions 28 to 1380 of the family's 1533-position model. The record is from RNAcentral.
GAUGAACGCUGGCGGCGUGCCUAAUACAUGCAAGUCGAGCGAACGGACGAGAAGCUUGCUUCUCUGAUGUUAGCGGCGGACGGGUGAGUAACACGUGGAUAACCUACCUAUAAGACUGGGAUAACUUCGGGAAACCGGAGCUAAUACCGGAUAAUAUUUUGAACCGCAUGGUUCAAAAGUGAAAGACGGUCUUGCUGUCACUUAUAGAUGGAUCCGCGCUGCAUUAGCUAGUUGGUAAGGUAACGGCUUACCAAGGCAACGAUGCAUAGCCGACCUGAGAGGGUGAUCGGCCACACUGGAACUGAGACACGGUCCAGACUCCUACGGGAGGCAGCAGUAGGGAAUCUUCCGCAAUGGGCGAAAGCCUGACGGAGCAACGCCGCGUGAGUGAUGAAGGUCUUCGGAUCGUAAAACUCUGUUAUUAGGGAAGAACAUAUGUGUAAGUAACUGUGCACAUCUUGACGGUACCUAAUCAGAAAGCCACGGCUAACUACGUGCCAGCAGCCGCGGUAAUACGUAGGUGGCAAGCGUUAUCCGGAAUUAUUGGGCGUAAAGCGCGCGUAGGCGGUUUUUUAAGUCUGAUGUGAAAGCCCACGGCUCAACCGUGGAGGGUCAUUGGAAACUGGAAAACUUGAGUGCAGAAGAGGAAAGUGGAAUUCCAUGUGUAGCGGUGAAAUGCGCAGAGAUAUGGAGGAACACCAGUGGCGAAGGCGACUUUCUGGUCUGUAACUGACGCUGAUGUGCGAAAGCGUGGGGAUCAAACAGGAUUAGAUACCCUGGUAGUCCACGCCGUAAACGAUGAGUGCUAAGUGUUAGGGGGUUUCCGCCCCUUAGUGCUGCAGCUAACGCAUUAAGCACUCCGCCUGGGGAGUACGACCGCAAGGUUGAAACUCAAAGGAAUUGACGGGGACCCGCACAAGCGGUGGAGCAUGUGGUUUAAUUCGAAGCAACGCGAAGAACCUUACCAAAUCUUGACAUCCUUUGACAACUCUAGAGAUAGAGCUUUCCCCUUCGGGGAACAAAGUGACAGGUGGUGCAUGGUUGUCGUCAGCUCGUGUCGUGAGAUGUUGGGUUAAGUCCCGCAACGAGCGCAACCCUUAAGCUUAGUUGCCAUCAUUAAGUUGGGCACUCUAAGUUGACUGCCGGUGACAAACCGGAGGAAGGUGGGGAUGACGUCAAAUCAUCAUGCCCCUUAUGAUUUGGGCUACACACGUGCUACAAUGGACAAUACAAAGGGCAGCGAAACCGUGAGGUCAAGCAAAUCCCAUAAAGUUGUUCUCAGUUCGGAUUGUAGUCUGCAACUCGACUACAUGAAGCUGGAAUCGCUAGUAAUCGUAGAUCAGCAUGCUACGGUGAAUACGUUCCCGGGUC